AGGGUUGCACUGUAUUACAUUUUUAAAAAAAUAUUACUCAGCUUGGGUUUAAAAUGUAAUGCUUGCUUUUUUUUUUUCUUUUUUUUUUUUUUAUCUUUCGGCCCAAGAACUUGCCAGUCAAGAUGAAAAACUUCUUCUAAUGGAAUCCAGCUUGAAAGCAACUCAAGAGCAGCAAAGUGAGCAAAUAGCAGAAACAGUUCGCCAAGAACAGAACAGUAGAAAAUCACAGACAGAGCUGAAGACCCUGCAAGAACAUAUUGUAGCUUCCGAAGAAGAAAUUAGUGAUUGCAAAGCCCAGAUGAGUACUUUAUAUAGGAACUUGGCUGCAAACAGAAGCCUGUUCGUUUGGUGGUGGACUGAACGUUUAAAGCUAAAUGUUUUAUCUCAGAUUUGUGGCAAGCAUCAAAGACUCUCAGCAAAUCUCCUCUGACAGUAAGUUUGAGGCAUCAUGGUGUGCACCAUAUGGAUCUAAAACUGAACAGAAUUGCUCCCAGCUAUUGCAAAAUGUUCACUUCGUUUACCAUUGUCAAACUUAUGAUUGAAUAAUUCCAAUUUUCUCUGAAAAAUCCAGGAAAAGUGUGGAGAACUUUAAGGUAAGAAUAACAGCAUCAAAAAUAAAGGACAAAUAGCAGCUUCUCA
RNAcentral lists this long non-coding RNA (639 nucleotides) under Calidris pygmaea (Spoon-billed sandpiper). Its description in RNAcentral is "lncRNA (ENSCPGG00000007731.1)". The record is from RNAcentral. Lineage: Eukaryota; Metazoa; Chordata; Aves; Charadriiformes; Scolopacidae.